RNAcentral lists this long non-coding RNA (1382 nucleotides) under Lathyrus oleraceus (garden pea). Its description in RNAcentral is "Pisum sativum (pea) long non-coding RNA (PSAT_LNC033326)". The record is from RNAcentral. Lineage: Eukaryota; Viridiplantae; Streptophyta; Magnoliopsida; Fabales; Fabaceae.
UUAACUUAGGGUGACCUUAUGUUAUCAACCUGUAAAGGUCGUUACUAAGGUCCCUCCUAGACGAGACUUAUCCCGAAGGAUUACCGUAGGAAGGCUUGCUCCUUCUCAUGGUAAAACAAGGGUAUAAUCCAUGACUCUAGGGCUAUCAUCCUAUAAAAACUUUAUAUCCUACAAGUGAGGGGAUUGGGUAGUCUAAGCCUAGAUCUGACAUAUCAUAAGGAAUCUACCCUUAACUAGGUCAUGCUUGCAUAUUAUCUUAUAUAUCUCAAAACCGUUUGGGUUUACCAUGCCAAUUAUUACCCCUAUCUAUAAGGAACCUUCUUAAACAAGGUGUCCUUAUAUUCGACAUUAUCCUUAAACCCAUAUGUGGGUUCUAUAUCCAUCAUAAUCCCUAAACCCGUGUGGGUUCUUCUAUCUGUCACUGUCCUAAUGGGACAAUUGCAUUGCAUCUAAAAAAUACUUUUAGCAUACCUUCAAAUUAAAAAAUUAAAAAAUAUAUUUUUGCAUACCCACGCAUUUUCGUGCAUUUGCAUACAUACAUAUACAUAUGCAUAUCCUUUCCACUUUCGCCCUUAUCCAGCUAGCAAGUCUCCCGAUGCUCGCAAAUGAACUUGCCACAUGUCUCAAGAAGAGAAAGUACCAUUUAUGAGAGAAGGUAACCCUUUGCCUUGCAAGCCACCGGCUUAUCCAAUGCUCUAAAUACAAUGAACCUGGAUGAUGUCACCGUAACAAGGUAUGCAACAAUAUCUUCUUCAGCAACAACCUUAUGCGCCUCAUUAAUCACAACAAAGGGAGCUUGGAAGGAAAUUGGAUCUUAUACUAAUGUCUCAUGACUUAAUCAGAGCUGCCCUAGUAGGACUACAACCGGAUGAUCUCUCUCCUCGUCUAUACCCUAAAAGUCAUUGCGAGAAUGCCGACGUGAGCAUAAAGUACAACACCUACAAUUGACUUUCAAAGAAGGAGUCCCAUUGAUGAAUGGUCACCCUUACUUUAACAAUGUGCAAGGACGUCAAGAAAAGCAUCCCCUAAAGAUAAUGGAUCAACAAUGAAGCUCAUCUCUGGAAUCAAUAGACUUUCUCAUUGCUAGUUGUAAUUUCUUUUUUGCUAAGGGUUGUUUGUAUUUAAAAGUUGUACUCUUUGGGAAAUAAUUUUAGUAAAAUGAGCAUGCAUGUUUUUGAAAUCAAUCCAUUCGUUUACACUCUCUUUCUUAUGCCAUCAUGAAAAUAAAAAUAAAAAUCAAUCAAAACAGAAACACACUAAUGACAUUGAAACAGAAACACAAGCAAUGACAUUGAAACACAAGCAAUGACAUUGAAAAUGUUUAUGUGAGCUUGUCAUGUUAUAAACAUACAUCAUGCAAAAAAUUAGAUCCAGAAGAGCUC